GAAAUCCUUCAGAAAAGUGACAAAGUAUGUAGAUGCUAUGGAUUUUGUGAACUGUCAUCCUUGCUCGUAUUGAUUUCAAAUUUUAGAACCAUAACUUUGAGACACAAUCAAGUUAGACAUGUAAUUUGAAUAAAUAGCAAGAAGCAAGUGACUAGAGUCUGAGAUGCUGACCAGUUUCAACCUACUUCUUUUCGAGGAAAGAUAUGAUUGCUCGUCAUUGUAUUUGUUGAAUUGUGCUGCUUUUCUCAUGCUGUUGAGUUGAUUAUACUCCCUUCUUGAUCUUAUUUUGCAUUCUUUAAUUUCAAUUUCCUCAUGCAGAUUUUGUUCAUUGGACCUGUUCAU
This 342-nucleotide unclassified non-coding RNA is filed under the name Hevea brasiliensis (rubber tree). Lineage: Eukaryota; Viridiplantae; Streptophyta; Magnoliopsida; Malpighiales; Euphorbiaceae. The record is from RNAcentral.